UACGAAGGGGGCUAGCGUUGCUCGGAAUCACUGGGCGUAAAGCGCACGUAGGCGGCUUUCUAAGUCAGGGGUGAAAUCCUGGAGCUCAACUCCAGAACUGCCUUUGAUACUGGGGAGCUCGAGUCCGGAAGAGGUGAGUGGAACUCCGAGUGUAGAGGUGAAAUUCGUAGAUAUUCGGAAGAACACCAGUGGCGAAGGCGGCUCACUGGCCCGAUACUGACGCUGAGGCACGAAAGCGUGGGGAGCAAACAGG
This 253-nucleotide ribosomal RNA is filed under the name uncultured bacterium. Its description in RNAcentral is "partial 16S ribosomal RNA". It matches the Rfam family "Bacterial small subunit ribosomal RNA", at positions 524 to 776 of the family's 1533-position model. The record is from RNAcentral.